This 496-nucleotide ribosomal RNA is filed under the name uncultured bacterium. RNAcentral describes it as "partial 16S ribosomal RNA". It matches the Rfam family "Bacterial small subunit ribosomal RNA", at positions 28 to 506 of the family's 1533-position model. The record is from RNAcentral.
GAUGAACGCUGGCGGCGUGCCUAAUACAUGCAAGUCGAGCGAACAGACGAGGAGCUUGCUCCUCUGACGUUAGCGGCGGACGGGUGAGUAACACGUGGAUAACCUACCUAUAAGACUGGGAUAACUUCGGGAAACCGGAGCUAAUACCGGAUAAUAUAUUGAACCGCAUGGUUCAAUAGUGAAAGACGGUUUUGCUGUCACUUAUAGAUGGAUCCGCGCCGCAUUAGCUAGUUGGUAAGGUAACGGCUUACCAAGGCAACGAUGCGUAGCCGACCUGAGAGGGUGAUCGGCCACACUGGAACUGAGACACGGUCCAGACUCCUACGGGAGGCAGAAGUAGGGAAUCUUCCGCAAGGGGCGAAAGCCUGACGGAGCAACGCCGCGUGAGUGAUGAAGGUCUUCGGAUCGUAAAACGCUGUUAUUAGGGAAGAACAAAUGUGUAAGUAACUAUGCACGUCUUGACGGUACCUAAGCAGAAAGCCACGGCUAACUACGU